GGGAAAUGAGGAGUGGUCAGUUUUUCGCUAAUUAUGCGAAAUGGGUGUCCAGCCCCAAGCCUGUUACUCCGUACGACAAUAUGGGCAUUCCAAUUUAUACCAUAUGAUCCC
Small nucleolar RNA from Spinacia oleracea (spinach), 111 nucleotides. RefSeq annotates it as small nucleolar RNA Z279/snoR105/snoR108. The transcript has a single exon. NCBI's taxonomy places the organism in Eukaryota, Viridiplantae, Streptophyta, Magnoliopsida, Caryophyllales, Amaranthaceae. The record is from RefSeq and is a predicted model, not a curated record.